Molecule: ribosomal RNA, 468 nt
Filed under: uncultured bacterium
Lineage: Bacteria
Description: partial 16S ribosomal RNA
Rfam family: Bacterial small subunit ribosomal RNA
Source: RNAcentral
GACGAACGCUGGCGGCGUGCUUAACACAUGCAAGUCGAACGGAAAGGCCCUGCUUUUGUGGGGUGCUCGAGUGGCGAACGGGUGAGUAACACGUGAGUAACCUGCCCUGGACUUUGGGAUAACUUCAGGAAACUGGGGCUAAUACCGGAUAGGAGCUCCUGCUGCAUGGUGGGGGUUGGAAAGUUUCGGCGGUUGGGGAUGGACUCGCGGCUUAUCAGCUUGUUGGUUGGGUAGUGGCUUACCAAGGCUUUGACGGGUAGCCGGCCUGAGAGGGUGACCGGCCACAAUGGGACUGAGAUACGGACCAGACUCCUACGGGAGGCAGCAGUGGGGAAUAUUGCACAAUGGGCGGAAGCCUGAUGCAGCAACGCCGCGUGCGGGAUGACGGCCUUCGGGUUGUAAACCGCUUUCGCCUGUGACGAAGCGUGAGUGGCGGUAAUGGGUAAAGAAGCACCGGCUAACUACGUG